RNAcentral lists this ribosomal RNA (657 nucleotides) under uncultured bacterium. RNAcentral describes it as "bacterial SSU rRNA". It matches the Rfam family "Bacterial small subunit ribosomal RNA", at positions 69 to 718 of the family's 1533-position model. The record is from RNAcentral.
ACAGAGAUAGCUUGCUAUCUGCUGACGAGCGGCGGACGGGUGAGUAAUGCUUGGGAAUAUGCCUUAUGGUGGGGGACAACAGUUGGAAACGACUGCUAAUACCGCAUAACGUCUACGGACCAAAGGGGGGGAUGCUUCGGCACCUCCCGCCAUUUGAUUAGCCCAAGUGAGAUUAGCUAGUAGGUGAGGUAAGAGCUCACCUAGGCGACGAUCUCUAGCUGGUUUGAGAGGAUGAUCAGCCACACUGGGACUGAGACACGGCCCAGACUCCUACGGGAGGCAGCAGUGGGGAAUAUUGCACAAUGGGCGAAAGCCUGAUGCAGCCAUGCCGCGUGUGUGAAGAAGGCCUUCGGGUUGUAAAGCACUUUCAGCGAGGAGGAAAGGUUAGUGGUUAAUAGCCACUAGCUGUGACGUUACUCGCAGAAGAAGCACCGGCUAACUUCGUGCCAGCAGCCGCGGUAAUACGAGGGGUGCAAGCGUUAAUCGGAAUUACUGGGCGUAAAGCGUGCGUAGGUGGUUUGUUAAGCAAGAUGUGAAAGCCCUGGGCUCAACCUGGGAACUGCAUUUUGAACUGGCAAGCUAGAGUUUUGUAGAGGGUAGUGGAAUUUCCAGUGUAGCGGUGAAAUGCGUAGAGAUUGGAAGGAACAUCAGUGGCGA